Long non-coding RNA from Haliotis rubra (blacklip abalone), 422 nucleotides. RefSeq lists it as uncharacterized. The transcript is spliced from 3 exons. The record is from RefSeq and is a predicted model, not a curated record. NCBI's taxonomy places the organism in Eukaryota, Metazoa, Mollusca, Gastropoda, Lepetellida, Haliotidae.
CCUUAUUUGUUUCCAUGAGUAUAUUUGACAAAACAAUAGCACUAUAAAUAUGUAUAUUAUGCACCAUUCUACUGAAUACAAUGUGGAUUUAGAUCGGAUUAAUCUCUACUUUAAAGAAAAUGAGAAAAGUUUAUUUGCACACAUUGGGAGACAGAUACUCUUCAGUAAUACUCAUAGUUAUCUUCCAAAAUUUAUCAUCUGCAUGCCAGCACACAAAAUAUUAUAGACAUUUCAUACGAAACAACACUCUAGCAUGUAUUAGCUGGUUAAACAUACAUACGAGAAUUUGUCCCAUUCUUCAAAAACAAUAGUUUUCAACACUUCAUAGGUUGUUAUACGCAAUAUUCCUCUGUCGCUCAUUGAAGCCAUGUUGUAGUUGAACAAGUCUGCCCCAUUCACAAGUCAUCGAAUACCCAUUUCUG